GUGGGGAAUAUUGGACAAUGGGGGAAACCCUGAUCCAGCGACGCCGCGUGUGUGAAGAAGGCCUGCGGGUUGUAAAGCACUUUUAGUGGGGAGGAAAAGCUCGGACCUAACACGUCCGGGAAUUGACUUAACCCAAAGAAAAAGCACCGGCUAACUCUGUGCCAGCAGCCGCGGUAAUACAGAGGGUGCAAGCGUUAAUCGGAAUUACUGGGCGUAAAGCGUGCGUAGACGGUUAUCUAAGUCGGGUGUGAAAUCCCCGGGCUCAACCUGGGAAUUGCAUUCGAGACUGAAUAGCUAGGGUACGGAAGAGGGAAGUGGAAUUUCCGGUGUAGCGGUGAAAUGCGUAGAUAUCGGAAGGAACAUCAGUGGCGAAAGCGACUUCCUGGUCCAGUACCGACGUUCAGGCACGAAAGCGUGGGGAGCAAACAGGAUUAGAUACCCCAGUAGUCC
Molecule: ribosomal RNA, 450 nt
Filed under: uncultured bacterium
Lineage: Bacteria
Description: bacterial SSU rRNA
Rfam family: Bacterial small subunit ribosomal RNA
Source: RNAcentral